UACAGAGGUCUCAAGCGUUGUUCGGAUUCAUUGGGCGUAAAGGGCGCGUAGGCGGUCCUGAUCGUCGGAUGUGAAAGGCCUGGGCUCAACCUGGGAAUGGCAUCCGAUACUGCGGGGCUGGAGUGUGGGAGAGGGUGGUGGAAUUCCCAGUGUAGAGGUGAAAUUCGUAGAUAUUGGGAAGAACACCGGUGGCGAAGGCGGCCAACUGGACCACAACUGACGCUGAGGCGCGAAAGCGUGGGGAGCAAACAGG
Molecule: ribosomal RNA, 253 nt
Filed under: uncultured bacterium
Lineage: Bacteria
Description: partial 16S ribosomal RNA
Rfam family: Bacterial small subunit ribosomal RNA
Source: RNAcentral